GACGAACGCUGGCGGCGUGCCUAAUACAUGCAAGUCGAGCGGACCGAACGAGGGCUUGCUCUUGUUUGGUCAGCGGCGGACGGGUGAGUAACACGUGGGCAACCUGCCCGCAAGACCGGGAUAACUCCGGGAAACCGGAGCUAAUACCGGAUAACACCGAAGACCGCAUGGUCUUCGGUUGAAAGGCGGCCUUUGGGCUGUCACUUGCGGAUGGGCCCGCGGCGCAUUAGCUAGUUGGUAAGGUAACGGCUCACCAAGGCGACGAUGCGUAGCCGGCCUGAGAGGGUGACCGGCCACACUGGGACUGAGACACGGCCCAGACUCCUACGGGAGGCAGCAGUAGGGAAUCUUCCGCAAUGGGCGAAAGCCUGACGGAGCGACGCCGCGUGAGCGAAGAAGGCCUUCGGGUCGUAAAGCUCUGUUGUGAGGGACGAAGGAGCGCCGUUUGAAGAAGGCGGCGCGGUGACGGUACCUCACGAGAAAGCCCCGGCUAACUACGUGCCAGCCGCCGCGGUAA
This 517-nucleotide ribosomal RNA is filed under the name uncultured bacterium. RNAcentral describes it as "partial 16S ribosomal RNA". It matches the Rfam family "Bacterial small subunit ribosomal RNA", at positions 28 to 523 of the family's 1533-position model. The record is from RNAcentral.